GAUGAACGCUGGCGGCGUGCUUAACACAUGCAAGUCGAACGGAAAGGCCCUGCGUUUGUGGGGCGGUUGAGUGGCGAACGGGGGAGUAACACGUGAGUAACCUCCCCCUGACUUUGGGAUAACUUCAGGAAACUGGGGCUAAUACCGGAUAGGAUCUCCUGAUGCAUGGUGGGGGUUGGAAAGAUUCGGCGGUUGUGGCUGUACUCGCGGGUUAUCGGCUUCUUGGGCGGGUAGUGGUUGUCCAAGGGUUUGACGGGUAGCCGGCCUGAGAGGGUGAACGGGCACCAGGGGCCUGCGGUACGGACCAGAAUCCAAUGGGACGCAGUAGGCGGGAAUAUUGCACAAUGGGCGCAAGCCUGAUACAGCAACGCUGGGUGCGGGAUACCGGGUUUCGGGGUAUAAACCGCUUUGGCAUGUGAUGAAGAGUGAGUGACGGUAAUGAGUAAAGAAGCACCGGCUAACUACGUG
This 468-nucleotide ribosomal RNA is filed under the name uncultured bacterium. RNAcentral describes it as "partial 16S ribosomal RNA". It matches the Rfam family "Bacterial small subunit ribosomal RNA", at positions 28 to 507 of the family's 1533-position model. The record is from RNAcentral.